GAUGAACGCUGGCGGCGUGCCUAAUACAUGCAAGUCGAGCGAACAGAUGAGGAGCUUGCUCCUCUGACGUUAGCGGCGGACGGGUGAGUAACACGUGGAUAACCUACCUAUAAGACUGGGAUAACUUCGGGAAACCGGAGCUAAUACCGGAUAAUAUAUUGAACCGCAUGGUUCAAUAGUGAAAGACGGUUUUGCUGUCACUUAUAGAUGGAUCCGCGCCGCAUUAGCUAGUUGGUAAGGUAACGGCUUACCAAGGCAACGAUGCGUAGCCGACCUGAGAGGGUGAUCGGCCACACUGGAACUGAGACACGGUCCAGACUCGUACGGGAGGCAGCAGUAGGGAAUCUUCCGCAAUAGGCGAAAGCCUGACGGAGCAACGCCGCGUGAGUGAUGAAGGUCUUCGGAUCGGAAAACUCUGUUAUUAGGGAAGAACAAAUGUGUAAGUAACUAUGCACGUCUUGACGGUACCUAAUCAGAAAGCCACGGCUAACUACGUG
This 497-nucleotide ribosomal RNA is filed under the name uncultured bacterium. Its description in RNAcentral is "partial 16S ribosomal RNA". It matches the Rfam family "Bacterial small subunit ribosomal RNA", at positions 28 to 507 of the family's 1533-position model. The record is from RNAcentral.